CAGUGCGAGAGAAGGUGAGUGUAAUAGGGUGAAUAUGGCAGAGCAAUGGGUGGUGAGUAUGGCAUGGGUGAGUGACAGGAUUGGUGGAGUUUUUUGUGAGUGCGGCAGGGUGAAGGGGGGUGACAGUGUGUGUGUAGUGGGGUGACAGUUACACAGACACACCCAUGCAUACACAGACACACAUGCAGAUAUACAAACACACACUGACAUACAUGCAGAUACACACCAUAUAACACACAGUGCCAUUUUAACAGCAAUAUAGGCCCCCGGGCAAAGCGGUGCACUACAC
Molecule: non-coding RNA, 289 nt
Organism: Pelobates cultripes (western spadefoot toad)
Lineage: Eukaryota; Metazoa; Chordata; Amphibia; Anura; Pelobatidae
Source: the annotation of a GenBank genome assembly